Molecule: ribosomal RNA, 947 nt
Filed under: Mycobacterium tuberculosis
Lineage: Bacteria; Bacillati; Actinomycetota; Actinomycetes; Mycobacteriales; Mycobacteriaceae
Description: bacterial SSU rRNA
Rfam family: Bacterial small subunit ribosomal RNA
Source: RNAcentral
GUCUCCUCGGAGAUCCUCGAGAUGGCCAAUGGGUGAGGGAUCAGUGGGUGAUCUGCCCUGCACUUCGGGAUAAAGGUGGUCAACUGGGGGAAUUCAAUGAUAGGACCACGGGCUCUCCGUCCGUGGUGGAGGUAGCUUUAGAGGUGUGGGAUGAGCCCGCGGCCUAUCAGCUUGUUGGUGGGGUGACGGCCUACCAAGGCGACGACGGGUAGCCGGCCUGAGAGGGUGUCCGGCCACACUGGGACUGAGAUACGGCCCAGACUCCUACGGGAGGCAGCAGUGGGGAAUAUUGCACAAUGGGCGCAAGCCUGAUGCAGCGACGCCGCGUGGGGGAUGACGGCCUUCGGGUUGUAAACCUCUUUCACCAUCGACGAAGGUCCGGGUUCUCUCGGAUUGACGGUAGGUGGAGAAGAAGCACCGGCCAACUACGUGCCAGCAGCCGCGGUAAUACGUAGGGUGCGAGCGUUGUCCGGAAUUACUGGGCGUAAAGAGCUCGUAGGUGGUUUGUCGCGUUGUUCGUGAAAUCUCACGGCUUAACUGUGAGCGUGCGGGCGAUACGGGCAGACUAGAGUACUGCAGGGGAGACUGGAAUUCCUGGUGUAGCGGUGGAAUGCGCAGAUAUCAGGAGGAACACCGGUGGCGAAGGCGGGUCUCUGGGCAGUAACUGACGCUGAGGAGCGAAAGCGUGGGGAGCGAACAGGAUUAGAUACCCUGGUAGUCCACGCCGUAAACGGUGGGUACUAGGUGUGGGUUUCCUUCCUUGGGAUCCGUGCCGUAGCUAACGCAUUAAGUACCCCGCCUGGGGAGUACGGCCGCAAGGCUAAAACUCAAAAGAAUUGACUGGGGCCCGCACAAGCGGCGGAGCAUGUGGAUUAUUCGAUGCAACGCGAAUACCCUUACCUGGUUUGACAUGCACAUGACCCGUCUAGAAAUAGCGUUCCCUUGUG